The sequence is a transfer RNA, 92 nucleotides long. It matches the Rfam family "tRNA". Rfam says of the family: Transfer RNA (tRNA) molecules are approximately 80 nucleotides in length. Their secondary structure includes four short double-helical elements and three loops (D, anti-codon, and T loops).
GACACUAUGGCCGAGUGGUUAAGGCGACAGAUUCGAAUAGCUCGAUUAUCUGUUUCGGUCUCCGAGCGCAGGUUCAAAUCCUGCUGGUGUCG